CCCGCACCGUCGGUUCACCGCCCGACGGUGUCAAACUGACGCGAUGCGGGACGUCCUGCCGGUGGCGUGUCUAGCUGGCGGCUCUCGGGUCGUUGGGCGGCGCCGAUUCAAUCCUGUCGCGGUGCUCUUCAUUGAGUGUCGAGAUGGGCCGGCACGUUUACUUUGAACAAAUUAGAGUGUUCAAGCAGGCUGGAUAUUGCCUGAAUGCUAGUGCAUGGAAUAAUGGAAUAGGACCUCGGUUCUAUUUUGUUGGUUUUCAGAACCAGAGGUAAUGAUUAAUGGAGACAGGCGGGGGCAUUCGUAUUGCGACGUUAGAGGUGAAAUUCUUGGAUCGUCGCAAGACGGACCGAAGCGAAAGCAUUUGCCAAGGAUGUUCUCGUUGAUCAAGAACGAAAGUUAGAGGUUCGAAGGCGAUCAGAUACCGCCCUAGUUCUAACCAUAAACGAUGUUGACUAGCCAUCCGUUAAAGGUUCUUUUUAUGCCUUAACGGGCAGCUUCCGGGAAACCAAAGUUUUUGAAUUCCGGGGGAAGUAUGGUUGCAAAGCUGAAACUUAAAGGAAUUGACGGAAGGGCACCACCAGGAGUGGAGCCUGCGGCUUAAUUUGACUCAACACGGGAAACCUCACCAGGCCCGGACACUGGAAGGAUUGACAGAUUGAUAGCUCUUUCUUGAUUCAGUGGGUGGUGGUGCAUGGCCGUUCUUAGUUGGUGGAGCGAUUUGUCUGCUUAAUUGCGAUAACGAACGA
Molecule: ribosomal RNA, 746 nt
Filed under: Frankliniella parvula
Lineage: Eukaryota; Metazoa; Arthropoda; Insecta; Thysanoptera; Thripidae
Description: SSU rRNA
Rfam family: Eukaryotic small subunit ribosomal RNA
Source: RNAcentral